AAAAAAGAGGAAGAAAAAAGAGGUGAUGAGGCAGAACGAACAAAGUAUAGAAGAGAGGAGGUCAACGGCCGAUCGGCUGUUUUGAGAAUCUCAUAAAAGUAUCCAAAGUCACCCUGGUCAGAACAACAGCCAGUGUGUUUAAUUGACGCAACGACCAAAGCCAAAUCGUAAAAUUUGGUUUUGAAGGUUUUCUUGGAGAUCUUCACGGUACUUUGUCGUUGCAAUAACAAUGCAAAUUUUAUAUUAUGUUUCAAA
Non-coding RNA from Caenorhabditis elegans, 255 nucleotides. Lineage: Eukaryota; Metazoa; Nematoda; Chromadorea; Rhabditida; Rhabditidae. The record is from Ensembl.